Molecule: long non-coding RNA, 265 nt
Filed under: Elaeis guineensis (African oil palm)
Lineage: Eukaryota; Viridiplantae; Streptophyta; Magnoliopsida; Arecales; Arecaceae
Description: long non-coding RNA (EGUI_LNC054926)
Source: RNAcentral
CCUAGUUACCUCUUAUUCAGCACUCUUCUCUUGUCCAAAGUCCUUUGUUGCUUCAUCUUUUCUUUGGAUUGAUUUUUCUUCCGUAUUGAGCUCCUUCAAUUUAUUUUCUAGGAUACCUGUAUCAUCAUCAAGCAAAUCUUUCUUUCUCGAGGAAGGGUUGUUAGUUUCAUCAAAAAUGAUAUGAAUGGAUUCUUCAAGAAUUAAGGUGCAUUUAUUGAAGAUCCUGUAUACUUUGCUGGACAUGGAGUAUCCAAGAAAGAUACCC